RNAcentral lists this ribosomal RNA (640 nucleotides) under Arietellus setosus. RNAcentral's name for it is "partial 28S ribosomal RNA". It matches the Rfam family "Eukaryotic large subunit ribosomal RNA", at positions 113 to 667 of the family's 3401-position model. Lineage: Eukaryota; Metazoa; Arthropoda; Copepoda; Calanoida; Arietellidae. The record is from RNAcentral.
GCCGAACCACAGUCCAUUCAGGUCUCGUGGAAUGUGGCGUUUGGGAGAGUCUUCUCGUGGUGUGGACGGCCAGUCAAAGUCCAACUUGACAGUGGCCAUGGCCCAUAGAGGGUGAUAGGCCCGUAAGGCGGCUGUCCUGCUGCGCUGACUUUUCCCUAGAGUCGGGUUGCUUGGGAGUGCAGCCCAAAGUGCGAGGUAAACUCCUCGUAAGGCUAAAUAUGACCCCGAGACCGAUAGCAAACAAGUACCGUGAGGGAAGAUUGAAAAGAACUUUGAAGAGAGAGUUCAAGAGUACGUGAAACUGUGUGGUGGUAAACGGAGGGGUUCUCGAAGUUUCCAAGGGGGACUCAACCUUGGUGGUUGUGGGUUCUUGGCAUUUGUGAUCAGAUUAAAUGACAUGGUGCUUUGUCCCCGCGGCCUCCCGGACGCACUUUCCCCUUGGUUGACGGCAGGAACUGUUAGGAGUGGACCAAAGGCCUGAGGUGAAGUUGUUGGUUAUGCUGGCAGCCCUCAGUGUCCUGGCUUCGCACCUGACAGGUACUUGAGUAAACUUGUAUAGCGAGCGGCCUUUGUUGCUGCGGUUUGCAUUUCUCUGCCGAGUAGGUCGGUGGCCCCUCCGACCCGUCUUGAAACACGGACC